AACGAACGCUGGCGGCAUGCCUAACACAUGCAAGUCGAACGAGACCUUCGGGUCUAGUGGCGCACGGGUGCGUAACGCGUGGGAACCUGCCCUUAGGUUCGGAAUAACUCCCCGAAAGGGGUGCUAAUACCGGAUAAUGUCUUCGGACCAAAGCUUUAUCGCCUUUGGAUGGGCCCGCGUUGGAUUAGCUAGUUGGUAGGGUAAAAGACUACCAAGGCGACGAUCCAUAGCUGGUCUGAGAGGAUGAUCAGCCACACUGGGACUGAGACACGGCCCAAACUCCUACGGGAGGCAGCAGUGGGGAAUAUCGGACAAUGGGCGAAAGCCUGAUCCAGCAAUGCCGCGUGAGUGAUGAAGGCCUUAGGGUUGUAAAGCUCUUUUACCCGGGAUGAUAAUGACAGUACCGGGAGAAUAAGCUCCGGCUAACUCCGUG
This 433-nucleotide ribosomal RNA is filed under the name uncultured bacterium. RNAcentral's name for it is "partial 16S ribosomal RNA". It matches the Rfam family "Bacterial small subunit ribosomal RNA", at positions 29 to 507 of the family's 1533-position model. The record is from RNAcentral.